UCGGGAAUUUUGGGCAACGGGCGAAAGCCUGACCCAGCAACGCCGCGUGAGGGAUGAAGUAUUUCGGUAUGUAAACCUCGAAAGAAUGGGAAGAAUAAAUGACGGUACCAUUUAUAAGCUCCGGCUAACUACGUGCCAGCAGCCGCGGUAAUACGUAGGGAGCAAGCGUUGUUCGGAUUUACUGGGCGUAAAGGGCGCGUAGGCGGCGCGGUAAGUCACUUGUGAAAUCUCUGAGCUUAACUCAGAACGGCCAAGUGAUACUGCUGUGCUAGAGUGCGGAAGAGGCAACCGGAAUUCUUGGUGUAGCGGUGAAAUGCGUAGAUAUCAAGAGGAACACCUGAGGCGAAGGCGGGUUGCUGGGCCGACACUGACGCUGAUGCGCGAAAGCCAGGGGAGCAAACG
RNAcentral lists this ribosomal RNA (402 nucleotides) under uncultured bacterium. RNAcentral's name for it is "bacterial SSU rRNA". It matches the Rfam family "Bacterial small subunit ribosomal RNA", at positions 355 to 774 of the family's 1533-position model. The record is from RNAcentral.